AAUAACGAUAAAUGUGUAUGUUCCAGGCAAUAAUUUAAAAUAUUUGUGAAACUUAUCGUUUUGCGCUAAAAUACAUCAAUGUGUGUGAAAUUCGUUGUCAUUGCUUUUGUUUUGAACAUCAUAUUCGUGCCUGCCGGUGGAAAAAUUAGAGCGACAUACGGACAAGUAAGAUGAUCAUCGUUUAAACAAAUGGUUUAUUUUCUUGUACAAGCAGCCGUGGCCCGAGCAGCGCAAAUCGUGGCAGAGAAUUAUAAGUAAUAAGGGAAAUAAUAGUGCGAUAAGAAACUGGAGCUCGGGGAAAACUAUAAUUUACGUCUCUACGCAGCACGUACGCAUGUGUGGGUGCAUUUGCGAUUGUGGCCUAAGCAGCGGCCCGAAAAACCUUACCAAACCUUUUUUUAUUUUACGCUUACAUCAACGUUAUGCCACAAUCACGUGCCGCCGCAGCUGCAGCUACUGG
Long non-coding RNA from Rhagoletis zephyria (snowberry fruit fly), 460 nucleotides. RefSeq lists it as uncharacterized. Lineage: Eukaryota; Metazoa; Arthropoda; Insecta; Diptera; Tephritidae. The record is from RefSeq and is a predicted model, not a curated record.